GCAGGAGUGGCGGAACAGGCAGACGCGUAUGUUUGAGGGGCAUAUGCUGAAUAGGCGUGAGGGUUCGAGUCCCUUCUCCUGCACCA
This 86-nucleotide transfer RNA is filed under the name Tissierellia bacterium. RNAcentral describes it as "tRNA-Leu". It matches the Rfam family "tRNA". From Rfam's summary of the family: Transfer RNA (tRNA) molecules are approximately 80 nucleotides in length. Their secondary structure includes four short double-helical elements and three loops (D, anti-codon, and T loops). The record is from RNAcentral. Lineage: Bacteria; Bacillati; Bacillota; Tissierellia.